RNAcentral lists this ribosomal RNA (464 nucleotides) under uncultured Glomus. RNAcentral's name for it is "SSU rRNA". It matches the Rfam family "Eukaryotic small subunit ribosomal RNA", at positions 569 to 1040 of the family's 1831-position model. Lineage: Eukaryota; Fungi; Glomeromycota; Glomeromycetes; Glomerales; Glomeraceae. The record is from RNAcentral.
AGCAGCCGCGGUAAUUCCAGCUCCAAUAGCGUAUAUUAAAGUUGUUGCAGUUAAAAAGCUCGUAGUUGAAUUUCGGGACUAAUAUGUCGGUCGUACUUUGUACGUACUAGCAUUAUUGGUUUCUCCCUUCUGACGAACCACGAUGUCAUUAAUUUGGUGUCGCGGGAAAUCAGGACUGUUACUUUGAAAAAUUAGAGUGUUUAAAGCAAGCUCGCGCUUGAAUACAUUAGCAUGGAAUAAUGAAAUAGGACGUUUGAUUCUAUUUUGUUGGUUUCUAGGAUCGACGUAAUGAUUAAUAGGGAUAGUUGGGGGCAUUAGUAUUCAGUUGUCAGAGGUGAAAUUCUUGGAUUUAUUGAAGACUAACUACUGCGAAAGCAUUUUGCCAGGAUGUUUUCAUUAAUCAAGAACGAAAGUUAGGGGAUCGAAGACGAUCAGAUACCGUCGUAGUCUUAACCAUAAACUAU